RNAcentral lists this transfer RNA (84 nucleotides) under Brevundimonas phage vB_BpoS-Gurke. RNAcentral describes it as "tRNA-Asn". It matches the Rfam family "tRNA". From Rfam's summary of the family: Transfer RNA (tRNA) molecules are approximately 80 nucleotides in length. Their secondary structure includes four short double-helical elements and three loops (D, anti-codon, and T loops). Lineage: Duplodnaviria; Heunggongvirae; Uroviricota; Caudoviricetes; Jeanschmidtviridae. The record is from RNAcentral. RNAcentral also lists the same sequence under 1 other name.
UCUUGCGUGGCGAAAUGGUAGCCGCACUCGCCUGUUAAGCGAGCGCCGAAAGGCUUGUAGGUUCGAGUCCUACCGCAAGAGCCA